UGGACGGAACUGGAGGCUUCUUCAACAGCGACAAAAGGCUUCUGAUUCAACGAACGUGUUGUUUUGCUAGCGAACAUAAAGUUGAGUCUUUGAAGCUCUUUAGACCAAUCGUGUGUAUAUUACUCUUAGUGUUUUGAAUAUAAUUAUGUUUACCCAUCUACUAGUUCAUUUUAACGUCAUUUGCUCGUUAAAUUAGCAAAUGUGUUACUAAAUUGAUACUGCAUUAGGCUAAUCGACCGGAGCAUGAGCUCACAAAGCUCGACCGAGAAAGAAGCUCUGGUGAAAGGAGAGGAAGAAGCUUUCAGGAUGAAAAGGGAGGAAGAGGACGCUAUCACAUUGAAAGAAGAAGAGGAUGAUAUUACAGUGAAAGAGGAAGAUGGGAAAGAGGUUGUCAAAGUGGAAGGGGAGGAGGUAGAAGCUUUCAGAAUCAAAAACGAGGAAGAUGCCAUAACAUUGAAAGAAGAGAAUGUAGUGAAAGAAGAGGAAGAACCUUUUAGAGUAAAAGAGGAAGAGGAGGCUAUCUCAAUAAAAAGGAGGAAGACGUUUUGGGAGUGAAAGCGGAGGAGGCUGAAGAUCAGACUACCACCAGAGAGAGACGUGACUAUCGUGGAUCCUCUGGGGAGCAUCAACAACAUCCUGAUGCUGACGAGGAAGAGAAGAGUCUCUCCAGAUCAGAACACCAGAUGGACAACGCUAGCCCUUCCUCCCUCCCGGAGUCCCCGUGUCGUACCUCUUCCAGUAGCGCCUUACUGCUGGGUAUGAAGAGGUUGUCUGUGCUGCUGGUGGACUGCAGGAAAACAACGGGGCUGAGUGGAACUGUGAGAGGAGGAGAAGAGAAGAAAGGAUCAGAUUUGACACAUCAAAGAGAAAGACCAGACUCAGAGGAACCAGAGCCAGGGAUUUCCAAAC
RNA transcript from Oncorhynchus tshawytscha (Chinook salmon), 909 nucleotides. RefSeq lists it as uncharacterized. Lineage: Eukaryota; Metazoa; Chordata; Actinopteri; Salmoniformes; Salmonidae. The record is from RefSeq and is a predicted model, not a curated record. The transcript is spliced from 4 exons.